UGUUCUAAUAAUCUUAGCUUAAGCCAUGCUUUUUCCAACCCAACGUAACCUAAUUGCCGAUCUUUUUUUCUCCACUGUACACACGCCCUAUUUCUCCUCCUUCUCUCGCCGCGCGUAAUCGCUCAUGCCUUGCAUCGUGCUCACCAUCGUGCUCAUGCCGACUCUUUUUCUCCCUAAUCUGUUCUCACCAUCGUGCUCCUCUCACCCACGCUCACGCAUCCCAUCGUCGUUCCUCUCCCUUUCUCCUCCCUAACCUGCUAUCGCCGUUGCCGCUCUUCUUACCCAAUCUCAUCCAUCCCUGUUGCUUCUCCUCUUGCCAUCGCUGCUCCUCUCACCCAUGCUCACGCAUCCCUGUGGCCGCCGCUGCCAGCCACCGCUGCCGUUGCCAGUCGCCGCUGCCAACCGUCGUCGCCGCUGCCAACCGUCGCCGCCGCCGCCGCCGGCCUCCAUUGUGCGUCUCCACCAUAAUUCCUCUGCAACACUGCCUCCACCGCUAUGAACAAUAGAGGCAAAAGAGACUAAAGGAAGCAUACGGUGGAAGUUUUGGUCUAAGAAACUUGAGGCUUUAAAGAAUUAUUAUGGAUAAGAGCUAGAUCUUUUUACCAAGACAAACUGAGUAUAGAAAUGGUGUUCAAAGGCAAAGGAUAAUGAAUCAGACCACUGAAAGGACAUCUUUUUCUCAAGUUCUACAAAAAUUGGUAAAUAUUCUUAUCAUGUUAUAAGUUUAUGUGCAUUUGAUUAUAGAAACUAGUAAUUAAAUAUAUUUUCGGGAAAAAAAGAAAAAGGGCAUCCUCCAACACAAGUUGAAUUAUUUCAUGCCUAUUUUAUGUGCCUAUUUUUCUCAAGUUGUUUGGUUUUGAGAAACAAAAUGUUUCUAUCCGAAUUGCAGUUCCACAAACAGUAGCUACAUGUAGCUUUUAAUUCAUUGUUUGGUUUUGAGAUUCAUUGUUCAUGUAGCUUUGAAUUAACAUUGUUUGGUUUUGAGAAACAAAAUGUUUCUAUCCGACUUGCAGUUCCACAAACAGUAGCUACAUGUAGCUUUUAAUUCAUUGUUUGGUUUUGAGAUU
Molecule: long non-coding RNA, 1067 nt
Organism: Zingiber officinale
Lineage: Eukaryota; Viridiplantae; Streptophyta; Magnoliopsida; Zingiberales; Zingiberaceae
Exons: 3
Source: RefSeq, a predicted model, not a curated record